UGGGGAAUUUUGGACAAUGGGGGAAACCCUGAUCCAGCCAUCCCGCGUGUGCGAUGAAGGCCUUCGGGUUGUAAAGCAAUUUUGGCAGGAAAGAAACGUCAUGGGUUAAUACCCCGUGAAACUGACGGUACCUGCAGAAUAAGCACCGGCUAACUACGUGCCAGCAGCCGCGGUAAUACGUAGGGUGCAAGCGUUAAUCGGAAUUACUGGGCGUAAAGCGUGCGCAGGCGGUUCGGAAAGAAAGAUGUGAAAUCCCAGAGCUCAACUUUGGAACUGCAUUUUUAACUACCGGGCUAGAGUGUGUCAGAGGGAGGUGGAAUUCCGCGUGUAGCAGUGAAAUGCGUAGAUAUGCGGAGGAACACCGAUGGCGAAGGCAGCCUCCUGGGAUAACACUGACGCUCAUGCACGAAAGCGUGGGGAGCAAACAGG
This 429-nucleotide ribosomal RNA is filed under the name Acidobacteriota bacterium. Its description in RNAcentral is "Acidobacteria bacterium partial 16S ribosomal RNA". It matches the Rfam family "Bacterial small subunit ribosomal RNA", at positions 355 to 776 of the family's 1533-position model. Lineage: Bacteria; Pseudomonadati; Acidobacteriota. The record is from RNAcentral.